GACGAACGCUGGCGGCGUGCUUAACACAUGCAAGUCGAACGGAAAGGCCCUGCUUGCAGGGUACUCGAGUGGCGAACUGGUGUGUAACACGUGGGUGAUCUGCCCUUCACUUCUUGUUAAGCUUUGUAAACUGUGUCUAAUACCUGAUAUGUGCCAUCUUUAGUGUUGUGGUUGGAAAGUUUUUUCGGUGUAGGAUGAGCUCGCGGCCUAUCAGCUUGUUGGUGGGGUAAUGUCCUACCAAGCCGGCGACGGGUAGCCGGCCUGAGAGGGUGUACGGCCACAAUGGGAGUGAGAGACGGGCCAGAGACGUAAGGGAGGCAGAAGAGGGGAAUAGAGGACAAUGGGAGAAAGCGUGAUGCAGAGACGACGCGUGGGGGAUGAAGGCCUUCGGGUUGUAAAAACCUUUCGGUAGGGAAGAAGCUUUGUUGUGACGGUACCUAGAUAAGAAGCACCGGCUAACUACGUG
This 466-nucleotide ribosomal RNA is filed under the name uncultured bacterium. Its description in RNAcentral is "partial 16S ribosomal RNA". It matches the Rfam family "Bacterial small subunit ribosomal RNA", at positions 28 to 507 of the family's 1533-position model. The record is from RNAcentral.